This 73-nucleotide transfer RNA is filed under the name Neomoorella thermoacetica. Its description in RNAcentral is "Moorella thermoacetica tRNA-Pro". It matches the Rfam family "tRNA". From Rfam's summary of the family: Transfer RNA (tRNA) molecules are approximately 80 nucleotides in length. Their secondary structure includes four short double-helical elements and three loops (D, anti-codon, and T loops). Further hydrogen bonds mediate the characteristic L-shaped molecular structure. tRNAs have two regions of fundamental functional importance: the anti-codon, which is responsible for specific mRNA codon recognition, and the 3' end, to which the tRNAs corresponding amino acid is attached (by aminoacyl-tRNA synthetases). tRNAs cope with the degeneracy of the genetic code in two manners: having more than one tRNA (with a specific anti-codon) for a particular amino acid; and 'wobble' base-pairing, i.e. permitting non-standard base-pairing at the 3rd anti-codon position. Lineage: Bacteria; Bacillati; Bacillota; Clostridia; Neomoorellales; Neomoorellaceae. The record is from RNAcentral.
GGUUGCUUCGCCUAAAGGUAAGGCAUCUGAUUUGGGAUCAGACCAUUGGGGGUUCGAAUCCCCCAGCUAAUCC